This 153-nucleotide microRNA precursor is filed under the name Oryza brachyantha (malo sina). RNAcentral's name for it is "MIR812 microRNA precursor family". It matches the Rfam family "MIR812 microRNA precursor family", at positions 27 to 181 of the family's 205-position model. Lineage: Eukaryota; Viridiplantae; Streptophyta; Magnoliopsida; Poales; Poaceae. The record is from Rfam by way of RNAcentral.
GCUAAUGUUUGCCUCUUCGUCUUAUUUUAUUUUUUUAUAAUUAAUAUUUUUAUUGUUACUAGAUGAUAAAACAUGAAUAGUACUUUACACGUGACUAAUUUUUUAAAUUUCUUUAUAAUUUUUCUAAUAAGACGGAUGAUCAAACAUUAAACA